This 252-nucleotide ribosomal RNA is filed under the name uncultured bacterium. Its description in RNAcentral is "partial 16S ribosomal RNA". It matches the Rfam family "Bacterial small subunit ribosomal RNA", at positions 524 to 776 of the family's 1533-position model. The record is from RNAcentral.
UACGUAGGGGGCAAGCGUUGUCCGGAUUUAUUGGGCGUAAAGAGCGUGUAGGCGGCUAGAUAGGUCCGUUGUGAAAACUCGAGGCUCAACCUCGAGACGUCGAUGGAAACCAUCUGGCUAGAGUCCGGAGAGGAGAGUGGAAUUCCUGGUGUAGCGGUGAAAUGCGCAGAUAUCAGGAAGAACACCCGUGGCGAAGGCGGCUCUCUGGUACGUGACUGACGCUGAGACGCGAAAGCGUGGGGAGCAAACAGG